This 1372-nucleotide ribosomal RNA is filed under the name uncultured bacterium. Its description in RNAcentral is "bacterial SSU rRNA". It matches the Rfam family "Bacterial small subunit ribosomal RNA", at positions 28 to 1381 of the family's 1533-position model. The record is from RNAcentral.
GAUGAACGCUGGCGGCGUGCCUAAUACAUGCAAGUCGAGCGAACGGACGAGAAGCUUGCUUCUCUGAUGUUAGCGGCGGACGGGUGAGUAACACGUGGAUAACCUACCUAUAAGACUGGGAUAACUUCGGGAAACCGGAGCUAAUACCGGAUAAUAUUUUGAACCGCAUGGUUCAAAAGUGAAAGACGGUCUUGCUGUCACUUAUAGAUGGAUCCGCGCUGCAUUAGCUAGUUGGUAAGGUAACGGCUUACCAAGGCAACGAUGCAUAGCCGACCUGAGAGGGUGAUCGGCCACACUGGAACUGAGACACGGUCCAGACUCCUACGGGAGGCAGCAGUAGGGAAUCUUCCGCAAUGGGCGAAAGCCUGACGGAGCAACGCCGCGUGAGUGAUGAAGGUCUUCGGAUCGUAAAACUCUGUUAUUAGGGAAGAACAUAUGUGUAAGUAACUGUGCACAUCUUGACGGUACCUAAUCAGAAAGCCACGGCUAACUACGUGCCAGCAGCCGCGGUAAUACGUAGGUGGCAAGCGUUAUCCGGAAUUAUUGGGCGUAAAGCGCGCGUAGGCGGUUUUUUAAGUCUGAUGUGAAAGCCCACGGCUCAACCGUGGAGGGUCAUUGGAAACUGGAAAACUUGAGUGCAGAAGAGGAAAGUGGAAUUCCAUGUGUAGCGGUGAAAUGCGCAGAGAUAUGGAGGAACACCAGUGGCGAAGGCGACUUUCUGGUCUGUAACUGACGCUGAUGUGCGAAAGCGUGGGGAUCGAACAGGAUUAGAUACCCUGGUAGUCCACGCCGUAAACGAUGAGUGCUAAGUGUUAGGGGGUUUCCGCCCCUUAGUGCUGCAGCUAACGCAUUGAGCACUCCGCCUGGGGAGUACGACCGCAAGGUUGAAACUCAAAGGAAUUGACGGGGACCCGCACAAGCGGUGGAGCAUGUGGUUUAAUUCGAAGCAACGCGAAGAACCUUACCAAAUCUUGACAUCCUUUGACAACUCUAGAGAUAGAGCCUUCCCCUUCGGGGGACAAAGUGACAGGUGGUGCAUGGUUGUCGUCAGCUCGUGUCGUGAGAUGUUGGGUUAAGUCCCGCAACGAGCGCAACCCUUAAGCUUAGUUGCCAUCAUUAAGUUGGGCACUCUAAGUUGACUGCCGGUGACAAACCGGAGGAAGGUGGGGAUGACGUCAAAUCAUCAUGCCCCUUAUGAUUUGGGCUACACACGUGCUACAAUGGACAAUACAAAGGGCAGCGAAACCGCGAGGUCAAGCAAAUCCCAUAAAGUUGUUCUCAGUUCGGAUUGUAGUCUGCAACUCGACUACAUGAAGCUGGAAUCGCUAGUAAUCGUAGAUCAGCAUGCUACGGUGAAUACGUUCCCGGGUCU